This 497-nucleotide ribosomal RNA is filed under the name uncultured bacterium. RNAcentral describes it as "partial 16S ribosomal RNA". It matches the Rfam family "Bacterial small subunit ribosomal RNA", at positions 28 to 507 of the family's 1533-position model. The record is from RNAcentral.
GAUGAACGCUGGCGGCGUGCCUAAUACAUGCAAGUCGAGCGAACAGACGAGGAGCUUGCUCCUCUGACGUUAGCGGCGGACGGGUGAGUAACACGUGGAUAACCUACCUAUAGGACUGGGAUAACUUCGGGAACCCGGAGCUAAUACCGGAUAAUAUAUUGAACCGCAUGGUUCAAUAGUGAAAGACGGUUUUGCUGUCCCUUAUAGAUGGAUCCGCGCCGCAUUAGCUAGUUGGUAAGGUAACGGCUUACCAAGGCGACGAUGCGUAGCCGACCUGAGAGGGUGAUCAGCCACACUGGAACUGAGACACGGUCCAGACUCCUACGGGAGGCAGCAGUAGGGAAUCUUCCGCAAUGGGCGAAGGCCUGACGGAGCAACGCCGCGUGAGUGAUGAAGGUCUUCGGAUCGUAAAACUCUGUUAGUAGGGAAGAACAAAUGUGUAAGUAACUAUGCACGUCUUGACGGUACCUAAUCAGAAAGCCACGGCUAACUACGUG